Molecule: long non-coding RNA, 3101 nt
Organism: Triticum dicoccoides
Lineage: Eukaryota; Viridiplantae; Streptophyta; Magnoliopsida; Poales; Poaceae
Exons: 3
Source: RefSeq, a predicted model, not a curated record
GGUCUCCUCUGUCUUUAGGCGAGCGUGCUCAAAAUCCCCCUCGACCCCGGCUGCAUCAGGCGACUCCGCGACCCCACCGCCGGCCUCCGCCCUCCCCGCACCGGCGACCUCCCCCUCCUCUCCCUUCCCUUCCCUUCCCCCAUAUCGAGAAGGGAGGCCAUGGUGCUCCCAACAUGGCUGUAUCUAGACCAAGCCCGUGGGGUUCCAGCUCGACCUCCUCGCAGCGACCACGGCGGCAGGAUCCGCGGAUCCAUGGCCACGGCGGUGCGAGCGCGCAGACGCAGCCUUCAGAAGAGAGGAGGCAUGUCGGCCAUGGCGUUCCCGCCGCAGCCGGGUCACUGGCUCCACCACGAGCUCCUCGCAGUUGUCAGUGACGACGGCGGCUCCGAACCCUAGCGGACGCUCCUGCUCGUCUUCCUCCACACCUCUGCUCGUGCCCGUCUUCCUCGGCGCCAUAUUCAGCACCUACAAGAACGCAGCUUCCUCUCCCGCGACAGGGGAUGGAGGGACGUGGGUCAGGCAUCUGAACUUGUCAAAUCUUGGUCUGAAGGGAAUGUUAUCUCCUGAGGUUGGACAGCUUACUAAUAUGCAUUUUCUAUAAGCAUAUUCUAUAGUUCCUCUGGUGACGUUUGUUUCUGAACACUUUGGUUUUGACAUAACAUGUUUCAUGCUUUCAACCAUAAGAUAGUAUUUGGUAUUUCUGAAACUACCAACUGAAUAAGAGUCAUUUUGCACUUCGAUAUAGGCUAUCAUGUUGAGCACAGUAGUAAAGCUGAAACUUCGUAGUGUGUAUGUUUUCCUGAUGAGGCUUAUGACCUCAGCUUUUGAGCUGUCAAUUAAGGCACAUCAAUCAACUUGGUGUAUGUUCUUUCUUGGAGUGUAGUUGGAUACAAGACAGGUGUUUCUUCUUGGAUCUACGGGACUUUUGAGAAUACAAUUUUGCAUGGAUCAAAUUCAAAUACCACCCAGUGCUUUAUGUAGUUUUCCUAUUGUUAAUACCAUAGUAAAUCUAUCUGUUGAAUUAUGUAUGCCCAUUCAGGCACUCACCAAGAAAGCAUCUUAUGUCUACAGAUAUUAUUUUUUGUAUCUUAUGUACUUGUGAAAUGAUGUUCGCCCUUCAAAAUUUUCUGAUCUAUUUUCCUUCCAUCCAUAGUGUACUGCACAGGAACUUGUUCUAUGGUAUUAUCCUUAGAGAGAUGGGAGAUUUACGAGAGCUGAAGGUGUUGGAUCUGGGGUACAAUAACUUCAAUGGACCAAUUCCAUCAGAGCUAAUAAACAUUUUAUCCCUGGAAUUUAUGUGCGUGCGAACUUUGAUACUCCCUCCGUUCGUUUUUAUAAGGCGUUUCAGACAGCUGAGUUUGAACUGUUUAGUACACUGUCUGAAUUUACUAAAACGUCUUAUAUAAGUGAACAGAGGGAGUAUAUGUUUCUUUUUCAUUUCUGUUUAACUUCAAAACUUGACUGACCUUACUAUUUGAAUUGCAGCUUUCUUAAAAGAAACAGACUUUAUGGUGAUUUACCUCUUGAACUAAAUGAGCUCAUCAGUCUGUGUGAGUCUCAGGUUCGCCACGGCAGGACUUUCUCAAAUAGGAUGCCCGCUGCAAGGUUUGUCUAAGUUUUCUUCUACUUGCAUAUCUGAGAGUUAAACUCGUGAUUAUGCAAGGCUUGAGUUAAAUUUUCAAAUCAAAUAGGGAUUUGAGCAAGCUUGAUUUUGGUUAAAAAAUCCCACCCUGUUCCUGCAAUCACAUGUAUGUUAAUGAUAUCUGAAAUAUUUGAGAAUUAUCUGUUUCGACUCAAGAAAUAUCAGACUUCUUUUAGGAACAUUUCCUCCACAAAAUGGUAAAUUAUAUCCGAGUCGGCAUCCCUGAAACCCAGCCCAAAUCCACAUAUAACCUCACUCCGGACGAACCCUAGACCCAAAUCUCUUGACAAUGCCAUGUUGAAAGAUAGGCUUGCUAAGAUUCGGCUCAAGAAUUCCUGAGGGUACUUCUGUCUUUAUCAUAUUUGUUCUCACACCUUGGGCGUUGUGUUUUCCCGCCGCAGCGCACGCGUCGACCCGCAGUCCUCAUGUUAAGUGAACCAGAAGCGGUACAUGCGAGAGAAAAGAAAAACACACCCAACCACCUGCACGACCCUUCCUCUCGAUCCCAUCUGGACCUUUAGUAUUCUCGGGAUAUAUCUGAUUAUGAUGAUGUUCCGUACUGCUCUGGAGCCGACAACUUUUUGGACUGCUCGAUGUUUAUAACCAAUGAGACUACUUUUUUGGUUGUUGGCUGGAGGCUGGAGCUAUCACUGUGACUGAAAUUUUCUUUUCACCAAAGUAAUAUUAUAUGGUCAUCAAAAACCAAUGACAGGUCAACACUUGUCAGCAGUUUGCAAUUUGUAUUACAGUAUGCGUAAGCCAAUGGUCAGACAUUGUUGUUUUAGUUAGGAAAUGUAGAAAACGUGUUCAUGAUUUAUGUAGAUUGGAUAGUCCCUUCAAACUGCAGUAUUCGAUCUUGAGCGGACAAUCUAACUAUAUGUUUCCUUAUAGAAAAUUGACUGUAUGUUCCAUGAAUUGACUGAUUAGUUUGGCACGAUCAGAUUAAACUAGGUCUUGAUUUGAAGGUCCAGUUAGGGCAGCUGGUGCUGGUUUGUUUAUUGUAAUACUAACUAUGCCAUUUAGACAGAGACAUGUGGUCUUUCUCAUUCCUCGACAUUUCCUUUGCUACCAAGAUUUUUCAUUCUAGGUUGUGGAAAAACGGAUGUAGCAUUCCUUCUACAAGUUGUCAUGAGCUGGGACAUAGAAGAAGAGAGCCGACAUAGAAGAAGAGAGCCGACGAGAAGUUGCACAGCGGUUCGCUCCGGUGUCGCUGCCAAUGGCGUUGCGCAAAGUGCAGAUUGCAGGCUAGAUGCGUACGAGUCCAUCCCUACGUCCAUGAUGUUGAAGCAUAGGAAAUCAAGUCAAUUAGAUAGUAUAUCUGGUUCUGAAAGUUGUCUUUUGUGUAGUAUAUCUGGUUAUGAAAGUUGUCUUUUGUGUAUGCAGUUUUGCCAUUAUUUUGUAAAAGCUUUGAGUUUUUGAUAAUAUAAUUGUCUUACUAAUAACACUUUUAAUCAAUUCA